RNAcentral lists this long non-coding RNA (1131 nucleotides) under Pan troglodytes (chimpanzee). Its description in RNAcentral is "long non-coding RNA NONPTRT015923". Lineage: Eukaryota; Metazoa; Chordata; Mammalia; Primates; Hominidae. The record is from RNAcentral.
AGAGGUUAUGUGACUUGUUCCAGGUCUCGUGGAGUAAAUAAACUGGAAUCUGCUCCUCGCUGUCCUGCCCUUCACAUGGUGCCAGAGGCAGCUCCUGCGUGCACACCUGUGGCUCACCAGCCUGUCUGCUCCUGGGGAGCUGGGGCCUCCCCUGGUUUACAUCUGCAUCUCUAGGACACCCACGCUGCACUCUGCACACUGAGUUCUCAGGAGAUUCCUGCUGAGCAAAGAAGGAUGAAUUGUAGGCCUGCUUCUUUUUUUUUUUUGAGACGGAGUUUUGCUCUUGUUUCCCAGGCUGGAGUGCAAUGGCGUGAUCUCAGCUCACCACACCCUCCGCCUCCCGGGUUCAAGUGAUUCUCCUGCCUCAGCUUCCUGAGUAGCUGGGACUACAGGCAUGGGCCACCACACCUGGCUCAUUUUAUAUUUUUAGUAGAGACGGGGUUUGUCUAUGUUGGUCAGGCUGGCUGCGAACUCCCAACCUCAGGCGAUCCACCCGUCUCGGUCUCCUAAAGUGCUGGGAUUACAGGAGUGAGCCACCGCGCUUGGCCAGGCCUGCUUUUAAGGAUGCCCCAGGUCCAGAAAAUCAGGGCCAGCCCUGGGAAGUUCGCUCCUUCAGGCAGGUGUGCAUCUUCAUGUGAGACUUGAUCAGACCUGGGUUUUUGUAUCUACCCCACUCCGAAGCUCUCCUGCGUGAACCUGGAAUUCUCACUGCUUUGGGCAGGCCAGGCCACCACCAAGCCAGAUCUGGCGCCAGUGGAGAAAGGAGACAGGGAGGCAACUGCAGCCUGCCCAGUGUGGAGAGGGGCCAGAGCCCGGGCACUGGGCCCUGGUUAAUUGUGGAGCCAACCUGGUGUGUGGCAGCCAGGUCGGGCUGGUGUCUUCAGAGUGGCUGUGUCAGAAGUGCCUCGUGUAUGACAGAAACGCAGGCCAGCUGGAACAUCCCCAGGCGUUCUGUCCUGGAUCAAGCAAGAGGAAGGGGCAAGUGGGAGGAGCCAGCAGGGCCCACAGGAGACCACUGUGGCACACCUGUGCUCAGGUAAGGCAUGCUGGGCCAUGUCUCCCCAGGCCUGUAUCCCUGGGCCUUAGGAGACAUGGCGUCCCCUGGGGGGCCUCACAGCACCUCUAGUGGGG